CCCUUAGAUGUUCUGGGCCGCACGCGCGCUACACUGACGAAGUCAGCGAGCAUCUCCUACGCCGAAAGGUGCGGGGAAUCUUGUGAAACUUUGUCGUGCUGGGGAUUGAUUUUUGAAAUUCUUGAUCAUAAACGAGGAAUUCCUAGUAAGCGCAAGUCAGCAGCUUGCGUUGAUUACGUCCCUGCCCUUUGUACACACCGCCCGUCGCUACUACCGAUUGAAUGGUUUAGUGAGAUGUUUGGACCGGAACUCUCUUGCUCAGCAAUGGGCGAGAGAGAGUCUGGGAAGUCCCUCUAACUGUAUCAUUUAGGGGAAGUAAAAGUCGUAACA
This 330-nucleotide ribosomal RNA is filed under the name uncultured eukaryote. RNAcentral describes it as "partial 18S ribosomal RNA". It matches the Rfam family "Eukaryotic small subunit ribosomal RNA", at positions 1470 to 1796 of the family's 1831-position model. The record is from RNAcentral.